This 204-nucleotide ribosomal RNA is filed under the name uncultured bacterium. RNAcentral's name for it is "partial 16S ribosomal RNA". It matches the Rfam family "Bacterial small subunit ribosomal RNA", at positions 1297 to 1500 of the family's 1533-position model. The record is from RNAcentral.
GUUGCAGGCUGCAACUCGCCUGCAUGAAGUCGGAAUUGCUAGUAAUCGCAGAUCAGCAUGCUGCGGUGAAUACGUUCCCGGGCCUUGUACACACCGCCCGUCACACCAUGGGAGUCGGUAACACCCGAAGUCGGUAGCCUAACCGUAAGGAGGGCGCCGCCGAAGGUGGGAUUGAUGACUGGGGUGAAGUCGUAACAAGGUAUC